This 445-nucleotide ribosomal RNA is filed under the name uncultured bacterium. RNAcentral describes it as "partial 16S ribosomal RNA". It matches the Rfam family "Bacterial small subunit ribosomal RNA", at positions 354 to 796 of the family's 1533-position model. The record is from RNAcentral.
GUGAGGAAUAUUGGUCAAUGGGCGGGAGCCUGAACCAGCCAAGUCGCGUGAAGGAAGAAGGAUCUAUGGUUCGUAAACUUCUUUUGCAGGGGAAUAAAGUGCAGGACGUGUCCUGUUUUGUAUGUACCCUGAGAAUAAGGAUCGGCUAACUCCGUGCCAGCAGCCGCGGUAAUACGGAGGAUCCGAGCGUUAUCCGGAUUUAUUGGGUUUAAAGGGUGCGUCGGUGGUUUGAUAAGUCAGCGGUGAAAGUUUGCAGCUUAACUGUAAAAAUGCCGUUGAAACUGUCGGACUUGAGUGUAAAUGAGGUAGGCGGAAUGCGUGGUGUAGCGGUGAAAUGCAUAGAUAUCACGCAGAACUCCGAUUGCGAAGGCAGCUUACUAAGCUACAACUGACACUGAAGCACGAAAGCGUGGGGAUCAAACAGGAUUAGAAACCCCAGUAGUCC